This 268-nucleotide long non-coding RNA is filed under the name Hordeum vulgare. RNAcentral describes it as "long non-coding RNA (HVUL_LNC005725)". Lineage: Eukaryota; Viridiplantae; Streptophyta; Magnoliopsida; Poales; Poaceae. The record is from RNAcentral.
CCGUCUCCUGCCUCCGCGCAACGGUGGACGCCGAGAGGUGCUCCCGGCCGGCGGCGCGGAGGGCGGACAGCAGCUCGGCCUCGGACGUCGGCAUGAACCAAGGGAGAUCGAGCGAGGGUUGACGAUGAACAAUCGACGAGGACUUGGUAUCUAUCGUACCUAGACCAGAAUUUGCGUGCAUGCGUGAUCCGGCCGGGGUGAAUAUAUAUAAGGGGUUGGGUUGUUUGGAUCGGUGGAUCGUAGAGAAUCCAUUCGAUGUAAAACUGAU